UUACGGCUCAGUGGUAGAGCAUUUGCCUUACAUGUGUGAGGCACUGGAUUCAAUCUCAGCACCACAUAUAAAUAAAUGAAUAAAAUAAGGUCCAUCAACAACUAAAAAAAAAAAAAAUUAUAAUAAUUAUCUUUUUUUAAAAAAAAAAAAAAGAAGGGGCUGGGAUAGAGCUCAGUUGCACAAGGCCCUGGGUUCAAUCCCCAACAAAAA
Molecule: transfer RNA, 210 nt
Filed under: Marmota monax (woodchuck)
Lineage: Eukaryota; Metazoa; Chordata; Mammalia; Rodentia; Sciuridae
Description: tRNA.Val
Source: RNAcentral